CCCUUAGAUGUUCUGGGCCGCACGCGCGCUACACUGACGAAGGCAACGAGUGUUCACCUUGGCCGGAAGGUCUGGGGAAUCUGUGCAAACUUCGUCGUGAUGGGGAUAGAUUCUUGCAAUUAUUAAUCUUCAACGAGGAAUUCCUAGUAAGCGUGAGUCAUCAGCUCGCGUUGAUUACGUCCCUGCCCCUUGUACACACCGCCCGUCGCUCCUACCGAUUGGAUGAUCCGGUGAAAUUCUCGGACGUGGCUGAGGGAGCGGGUUCGCUCGCACUCGCGGCCGCGGAAGUUGCUUAAACCUUAUCAUCUAGAGGAAGGAGAAGUCGUANCA
Molecule: ribosomal RNA, 330 nt
Filed under: uncultured eukaryote
Lineage: Eukaryota
Description: partial 18S ribosomal RNA
Rfam family: Eukaryotic small subunit ribosomal RNA
Source: RNAcentral